RNAcentral lists this small RNA (126 nucleotides) under Erwinia amylovora. Its description in RNAcentral is "RtT sRNA". It matches the Rfam family "RtT RNA". From Rfam's summary of the family: This family represents a bacterial cis-regulatory element known as RtT RNA. The exact function of RtT is unknown although it is thought that it may be involved in changing the cellular response in relation to amino acid starvation. Lineage: Bacteria; Pseudomonadati; Pseudomonadota; Gammaproteobacteria; Enterobacterales; Erwiniaceae. The record is from RNAcentral.
UGCACACCGAAAGGUUGCAGGAUGAGAACCUCCGAAGGAGGUUUGAGCCGAGCGAAGCGAGACAACGUUGCUUUAGCAACGGCCCGAAGGGCGGCUCGAAGAGCCGUAAUCCUCUCUCGCCGACCA